AUUGAACGCUGGCGGCAGGCCUAACACAUGCAAGUCGAGCGGAGCGGCGGACGGGUGAGUAAUGCCUAGGAAUUUGCCUGGUAGUGGGGGAUAACGUCCGGAGACGGGCGCUAAUACCGCAUACUAUCAGAUGAGCCUAGGUCGGAUUAGCUAGUUGGUGGGGUAAAGGCCUACCAAGGCGACGAUGCGUAACCGGUCUGAGAGGAUGAUCAGUCACACUGGAACUGAGACACGGUCCAGACUCCUACGGGAGGCAGCAGUGGGGAAUAUUGGACAAUGGGCGAAAGCCUGAUGCAGCCAUGCCGCGUGUGUGAAGAAGGCCUUCGGGUUGUAAAGCACUUUAAGUUGGGAGGCGUUACCAACAGAAUAAGCACCGGCUAACUUCGUGCCAGCAGCCGCGGUAAUAC
This 407-nucleotide ribosomal RNA is filed under the name uncultured bacterium. Its description in RNAcentral is "partial 16S ribosomal RNA". It matches the Rfam family "Bacterial small subunit ribosomal RNA", at positions 30 to 526 of the family's 1533-position model. The record is from RNAcentral.